Molecule: ribosomal RNA, 519 nt
Filed under: uncultured bacterium
Lineage: Bacteria
Description: bacterial SSU rRNA
Rfam family: Bacterial small subunit ribosomal RNA
Source: RNAcentral
CGAUGCCUAAGACAUGCAAGUCGUACGAAGUGAACCUUUGAAGCAGAGUGCUGCACAAGCAGAAGAAGAUUUCACUUAGUGGCGCAAGGGUGAGUAACACGUGGGUAAUCUGCCUCAGAGACUGGAAUAACAAUUGGAAACGAUUGCUAAUGCCGGAUGAUAUAUAAAAGGAUACGUUCUUUUAUAGUAAAAGGAGCCUUUAAAGCUUCACUUUGAGAUGAGCCUGCGGCGCAUUAGCUAGUUGGUGGGGUAAAGGCCUACCAAGGCAACGAUGCGUAGCCGAACUGAGAGGUUGAUCGGCCACAUUGGGACUGAGACACGGCCCAAACUCCUACGGGAGACAGCAGUUAGGAAUAUUCGUCAAUGGGGGAAACCCUGAACGAGCAAUGCCGCGUGAAUGAUGACGGUCCUCUGGAUUGUAAAAUUCUGUUGUUGAGGAAGAACGUCUUGUGUAGGAAAUGACACAGGAGUGACGGUACUCUUCAAGAAAGCUCCGGCUAACUACGUGCCAGCCGCGGC